RNAcentral lists this small nuclear RNA (172 nucleotides) under Anopheles dirus. RNAcentral's name for it is "U11 spliceosomal RNA". It matches the Rfam family "U11 spliceosomal RNA". The record is from RNAcentral. Lineage: Eukaryota; Metazoa; Arthropoda; Insecta; Diptera; Culicidae.
UAAAAGGGUGCUUGCCUUUGUACGCUUGUAUGGCACAUCUGUGCGGCGCCUAGCUGGUUGAGUCCAGCGAGAUGUCCGUCCCGGUGGGGUAUGGCUAUCAUGACAUAUCCAGCACGUAAUUUUUGUCCCCAGGAAGGCUGUUGAUUCGCUCUACUUCAGCGUCGACGCCUUC